UACGAAGGGUGCAAGCGUUAAUCGGAAUUACUGGGCGUAAAGCGUGCGUAGGCGGUGACUUAAGUCUGUUGUGAAAUCCCCGGGCUCAACCUGGGAAUGGCAAUGGAUACUGGGUCGCUAGAGUGUGAUAGAGGAUGGUGGAAUUCCCGGUGUAGCGGUGAAAUGCGUAGAGAUCGGGAGGAACAUCAGUGGCGAAGGCGGCCACCUGGACCAGCACUGACACUGAGGCACGAAAGCGUGGGGAGCAAACAGG
Molecule: ribosomal RNA, 253 nt
Filed under: uncultured bacterium
Lineage: Bacteria
Description: partial 16S ribosomal RNA
Rfam family: Bacterial small subunit ribosomal RNA
Source: RNAcentral